Long non-coding RNA from Cebus imitator (Panamanian white-faced capuchin), 1262 nucleotides. RefSeq lists it as uncharacterized. The record is from RefSeq and is a predicted model, not a curated record. The transcript has 5 exons. Lineage: Eukaryota; Metazoa; Chordata; Mammalia; Primates; Cebidae.
UUGCGAGCCCUGAGCGGCAGCCCCAGCUGCCUGUGCACAACUGGGAGUGGCUUCCGGGAGCCAGGGGGCCACUGUGGCGCAGGCGCACACCUAACGGCUUUGCGGGGCUCGCUCAGUCUAAUAGGUCGCAGGCUGAGAGUGUUGCUGCUGAAGGCUGUGGUGGACCCGGCUGGAUCGCGGAUUCUGGGCUAGAAAGCAGAUUUGGGAUCGCAGAUUGGAGGUUGACACCCGGUGGGGGUUGGAGGAGCCGCAGCUCAGGAGCUGGUUUUUGAGAAUCUGAGAAUAAGUCACCACCUUGAAGAAGUUCCUCCGCUUUAGGAACCAGGGGCCGAAGCGGAGCAGAACCUCAGGUCCUGGGCUCCAUAGAUCCCAUCUACGCUGCUUCCGGGCACCGAAUCCCGGAAGCGGAACUGCGGAACAUCCGCAGGGCGGCUGUCAGGGGCAACUCCGUGGAGGUGGAGCUGCCUGGCGCGCAGGAGCGGAGGCCUGGACUCCCGGGACAAGCUGCACAGUGUGUCCCCAAGAAAGUGUCAGAACAUUUACCGAGACCUUCCAAUGGAAAAAACAAAACAAAACAGUAUAGUCAAUGUAAAAGGAGAAGAACAUUUUUCACGAACUGUGUGUGGAUUCAUGCCCUAAACCAGAUGAUGAAGACUUGACUUACUACCAAGAUGGAGUUUCACUUUGUCAUGGAGGUUGUAGUGCAGUACUGUGUUCUUACCACACUGCAACCUUUGCUCCUGAGUUUGAGCAAUUCUCCUGCCUCAGCCUCCCAAGUCUCGGACUACAGGUUACAGUCUCCUAUUACCCCAAAAUGAAAUCUCAAAUGUCCUCCAUUCUGCAUAAAACCCAUGCUGGCCCCCUCAGUGGAAAACAUCAACCAUGAAUUACGGGUCUCUUCACUUCACCUUCACACCACCGAUUUCUGUCAUACUGCCUGUGCUUAUUACCAUGUAUGUCUAGCAUUAGACUGGACUCCUAGGGAAAAGGAAUUCACAUUCAUUUCUUGGUCCCGAGGGCAAAACUCCAAAGUGUAAUUAAGGAAAGAACUCCAAUUCUUUCAAGUUCUGAAUUCCUGGUCCUCUGAAAAAUGGCAGUGUGAAUUCAAGCUCAGCUUGUUUUCCUGAUCCAGUUCUCCAUCUUACAAAAUAAGCCAAGAAGGCAAAAAUGUCUAGAGAUUACUCCCCCAUGGUAAUCUUUGCAAAUAAAACUUUUAGACCUAACUUUAUACUAAUAAAAAUUUGAUGAUUUUUUUUUUUUUU